CUGGCGGCAUGCCUUACACAUGCAAGUCGAACGGCAGCAUAGAGGAGCUUGCUCCUCUGAUGGCGAGUGGCGAACGGGUGAGUAAAGCAUCGGAACGUGCCGUGUAGUGGGGGAUAACGUAGCGAAAGUUACGCUAAUACCGCAUACGCACCGAGGUGGAAAGCAGGGGAUCGCAAGACCUUGCGCUAUACGAGCGGCCGAUGUCAGAUUAGCUAGUUGGUAGGGUAAAGGCCUACCAAGGCGACGAUCUGUAGCGGGUCUGAGAGGAUGAUCCGCCACACUGGGACUGAGACACGGCCCAGACUCCUACGGGAGGCAGCAGUGGGGAAUUUUGGACAAUGGGGGAAACCCUGAUCCAGCCAUGCCGCGUGAGUGAAGAAGGCCUUCGGGUUGUAAAGCUCUUUCGGCUGGGAAGAAAUCGCACAGGCUAAUACUCUGUGUGGAUGACGGUACCAGCACAAGAAGCACCGGCUAACUACGUG
RNAcentral lists this ribosomal RNA (482 nucleotides) under uncultured bacterium. RNAcentral's name for it is "bacterial SSU rRNA". It matches the Rfam family "Bacterial small subunit ribosomal RNA", at positions 36 to 507 of the family's 1533-position model. The record is from RNAcentral.